UACGGAGGGUGCAAGCGUUAAUCGGAAUUACUGGGCGUAAAGCGUGCGCAGGCGGUUUGUUAAGUCCGUUGUGAAAGCCCCGAGCUCAACUUGGGAAUUGCAGUGGAUACUGGCAGGCUGGAGUACGGUAGAGGAAGGUGGAAUUCCCGGUGUAGCAGUGGAAUGCGUAGAUAUCGGGAGGAACACCAGUGGCGAAGGCGGCCUCGUCGGACCAGUAGUGACGCUCAUGCACGAAAGCGUGGGGAGCAAACAGG
RNAcentral lists this ribosomal RNA (254 nucleotides) under uncultured bacterium. RNAcentral's name for it is "partial 16S ribosomal RNA". It matches the Rfam family "Bacterial small subunit ribosomal RNA", at positions 524 to 776 of the family's 1533-position model. The record is from RNAcentral.